GAUGAACGCUGGCGGCGUGCCUAAUACAUGCAAGUCGAGCGAACAGACGAGGAGCUUGCUCCUUUGACGUUAGCGGCGGACGGGUGAGUAACACGUGGGUAACCUACCUAUAAGACUGGGAUAACUUCGGGAAACCGGAGCUAAUACCGGAUAAUAUUUCGAACCGCAUGGUUCGAUAGUGAAAGAUGGCUUUGCUAUCACUUAUAGAUGGACCUGCGCCGUAUUAGCUAGUUGGUAAGGUAACGGCUUACCAAGGCAACGAUACGUAGCCGACCUGAGAGGGUGAUCGGCCACACUGGAACUGAGACACGGUCCAGACUCCUACGGGAGGCAGCAGUAGGGAAUCUUCCGCAAUGGGCGAAAGCCUGACGGAGCAACGCCGCGUGAGUGAUGAAGGUCUUCGGAUCGUAAAACUCUGUUAUUAGGGAAGAACAAACGUGUAAGUAACUGUACACGUCUUGACGGUACCUAAUCAGAAAGCCACGGCUAACUACGUG
RNAcentral lists this ribosomal RNA (497 nucleotides) under uncultured bacterium. Its description in RNAcentral is "partial 16S ribosomal RNA". It matches the Rfam family "Bacterial small subunit ribosomal RNA", at positions 28 to 507 of the family's 1533-position model. The record is from RNAcentral.